Molecule: long non-coding RNA, 773 nt
Organism: Paramisgurnus dabryanus
Lineage: Eukaryota; Metazoa; Chordata; Actinopteri; Cypriniformes; Cobitidae
Source: RefSeq, a predicted model, not a curated record
GGAUAAUGCUGCUCAUUUGUUAUUAUUAAUGUCCCUUUUUUACAAGUUUAACAUUAUUUUACCCCAUGUGUUUGUAAUGCUAGGGUUUCUUUGUUUUGGUGUUUGGAACGCUUUUAGAAAGAACGGUCCGUGAAUCACUAUCAGGAAAGCUGUCAUUAAACAGUUUGACUCGUCCCAAGAGCACUAGUGCGGAAACAUUUUCAAGUAGACUGGGUUUCUUCCAAAGGAAGCUGAGGAAAAAUGUGUACAACACGUCUGACCACAGUGCAGCUUCAUCCUCAAACCACUUCAGUGCCUCGGACUCAUAAACAUUCUUCAUUAACUACAUGUAACAAAGCCUUUCAUCUGCUGUGAUCUGCAUGUCAUCUCCAUAAUGUGUUUCUGUGAUAAAACUACUGUAAUUACUUAUGUAAUAUGAAAUGUAUGUGAUGACUGCUGUUAGUGGUUAUGGUAUAUGGUAUAUGUUCAUUUUUUCAAGGACCAGGGUUAGUUGUCAAACUUUCUAUUGAAUGUUUUUCAGGGUAUAGUUGGGUAUCGCACUGCAUUUACUAUUUAAUUAAAAAAUUGAAAAUGUAAGAGUCUGUUUAAUAAUAGGUACUUCUACUUUAGUCAAUUUCUAAUCAUUUAAUCACAAAAUGGUAUAUUAAUAUACUGACUGAUGUUUGGCUUGGUGAUUUUUUUUAAUGGAUUUUAAUGUAAUAAAAUUUAACAAAUCAGGGCUGCUGCUGUCCAAAUGGGUGCCCUAGGAAGAUUUUUACUUUGGUGCUUUUUAG